GACAAUGAGUGACGCUGAGGUGCGAAAAUGUGGGGAGCGACCCGGAUUAUAUACCCGCGUAGUCCUCACCCUAAAAGAUGCAUACUUGGUGUUGGUGCGCAGGCAUCAGCGCCGGAGCAAACGCGUUAAGUAUACCUCCUGGGAAGUACGGCCGCAAGGUUGAAACUCAAAGAAAUGGACGGGGGGGCGCACAACCGGUGGAGCAUGUGGUUUAUUUUAAAGCAACGCGAAGAACCUUCCCAACUCUUGUCAUCCUUGGAAUCACUUAGAGAUGAAUGAGUGUCCUUCUGGAAGCCAAGAGACAGGUGCUGCAUGGCUGUCGUCAGCUCGUGUCGUGAGAUAUUGGGUUAAGUCCCGCAAAGAGCGCAACCCUUGUCUCUAGUUGCCAGCACUUCGGGUGGGAACUCUAGAGGGACUCCCUGUGAAACCACGAGGAAGGCGGGGAUGACGUCUAGUCAGCAUGGUCCUUUCGACCUGGGCGACACACGUGCUACAAUGGUCGGUACAAAGAGCAGCCACUCUGCGAAGAGGCGAGAAUCUCGGAAAACC
RNAcentral lists this ribosomal RNA (549 nucleotides) under uncultured organism. RNAcentral describes it as "bacterial SSU rRNA". It matches the Rfam family "Bacterial small subunit ribosomal RNA", at positions 732 to 1283 of the family's 1533-position model. The record is from RNAcentral.